AACAAGGAGGGCGACUCGUUCUCAGCGCGCCCCGCGCAUGAACCCGGCCACCCUCCCCAAGAGACUGAGGCGCAGAGGCUUCCGGACUCGCCCCAGUCACACAGCUGCCGGGGAAACCGAGGCAUGGAGCUGCAGCGCGAGGCCCGAGAGGAGGAAGGGAGGGGGUGGGGGAGCGGCGGGGAGCACCUUGUACAGCGCGGCGGUGAUGACAGCCAGGAGCAUCAGCCCCCCGACAGAGCUGCCCACGAUGAGCGGCAGGGGGUUGGGGACCUCGAACGGCUCCACUUUGGUCUCCGUCUGGGGGAGAAAGGAGGGUCGUCAGGGGAGACCACUCCGGAUUUCUGGGGGUUCCCCAUUCACACCGUGUACACCCCUGAAUCAAGUGGGGAACCCCUCCUCAUGUGCCCCAGGACCCCAGCCCUCAGUCCUCCUCCCCCACCUCUUCUCCCUCCUCUCCCUCCUCCGUUUCUCUGUCCUCUAUCUCUAUCUCUUUCUGCCUCUCUCUGUCUCUCUAUCUCCAUCUCUCACUGUCUCUGUCUCUGUCGCGCUCUGUAUCUCUUUAUCUCUCUGUCUCUCUCCAUCUCUCACUGUCUCUGUUUCUAUCUCUAUCUCUCUAUCUCUCUCUCCUUUGUGUCUGUCUCUGUAUCUGUUUCUCCCUCUGUCUCUAUCUCUCUGUCUCUGUCUCUCUCCUUACGUCUCUCUAUCUCUCUGUCUCUCUCUCCCUCUCUCUUUGUGUCUCUCUCCUCCCCCCGAAAUCUCCACAAGCCCAGCCCCUCUCCCUGCAAUAGUUCCUCAGCGCCCAAGACAGUUACCUGGGCCUUCACAAACGCCCCCUGUCCCGGCAGCAGGGUGAACGUGGAAUCGUUAAACAAGAUCUCAGCUGUGCUCACGACCAGGAGGUGGUUAUGCGAGGUCUGUGGAAGAGCGUGUGGGCACUGCACCUGGGCCCUGAGCACCACUCCUGUGCCCGGCGAAGCCUCAGGACCCCACACACCUUGAUGUACCAGUCAAACGAGAGGUUGCCUUUGAGGGUAGCAUUGAAUUCUUCCUGGAUGCCAAAGAACGGGAAGUCACACUGGAUUCUCUGGCAGACAGCGAUGGCGCAGUUCUGGGGAACGCAGGAGGGGAGGGGACGGGGGGGCCUUCCGAAGCUCAGCCAGAAAGUCGGAGUGAAGGGGCAAGAGCUCCUUGGUGUGGCACGUACUCGAGAGGUUCUGAGGAAAGAGACGCACUGAGAAGGGGCAGAGAUGAAGGCACCAGGGCCCGUCUCUCAGGAGCCUCCUUCUCAGGACCCAGACGUCCCAGCUCCCCACCUGAUACUGAUGCUGCAUGACCUGACUGGUAUUCUCUGAGGCCGUGAAGCUGAGAUAUUUAGUGGAGACCUCAUGGCUGAAGAGAGAAAAAAGGGACAGGAGGAACCACUACUAAAGAAGAGAAGAAGAAAAGAAUCCCCAAAGACAUCAAAGAGAAAAGGAGAGGAGGAGCCAGGAGUUCUGACCUCUGAGUUUUCCGGGAAGAUGGGGUGGUUUAUGCUGCAGUUGGUGCUCUUCAAGGCCCCAGACACUUCGGUGGAGGAGGCAGACUCACAGGCCAGGCGCCAGGAUCGCUGUGAGCGCUGGCUCUGGAAGGCAGGGGAGGCAAAGGCGGUGAUAUCCACCUCCAGCCAUGAGGAUGGGGAAGCAAAGGUCAGAUAGAGCCUGAGAAGGAUGUGGCUACCUGGAGCUUUGACACCUUCCGGUAGGACAGGCCAAGUGGGAAGAAGAAGGUGACCUGUGUCCUGUAGGAGUCCUCACCAUCAUUUCUCACAGUCACUGUCACGUUGAACUCCCGGGGCCCACCCACCACGAGGCAGUCCAGGCUGUGGGAAGAAGACAGGCCGGGGGAUGGGGCGCUGGGCUUCCCUGUGGCAAGCCUGCUCCGGCAGAACAGAGACACAGGUACUUGAUGAGAGACAACAGUAGAGGGGCAGCCACACCGGACCUUAUAGCCCAGGAACACCCGGCUCCCUUGGGGGCCAGAAGGAAAACAGAGCGGGUCAUGGUACGGGUUCUUCUCUGGAGGAGGUGAGGAAGAAAGGAAACUCACCUCAUGAAACUGAAGGUGAUGCUGAGGUCAUCCUGGCAGAUGUUGUCCUUGCCACAAUUCUUCUCAAAGGGAAACUUUUAAAAAAUAAAUAUGAUCAAAUGAAAGGAAAGGAAAUAACCAAGUAUUGUGAAAUUAAACAAUAAAAUCAAAUGUUGAAGUAAAAUUAGAUGCAAUCAAAUAAAAUGAGUUUCAACCA
Molecule: long non-coding RNA, 2281 nt
Organism: Symphalangus syndactylus (siamang)
Lineage: Eukaryota; Metazoa; Chordata; Mammalia; Primates; Hylobatidae
Source: RefSeq, a predicted model, not a curated record